UGGGGAAUCUUGCGCAAUGCGCGAAAGCGUGACGCAGCAACGCCGCGUGAGGGAAGACGGCCUUCGGGUUGUAAACCUCUUUCAGUUGGGACGAAGCCACGGCGGUUAAUACCCGUCUGUGGUGACGGUACCUUCAGAAGAAGCCCCGGCUAACUACGUGCCAGCAGCCGCGGUAAUACGUAGGGGGCAAGCGUUGUCCGGAAUCAUUGGGCGUAAAGCGCGUGUAGGCGGCUUGGUAAGUCCGCUCUGAAAGCCCGGGGCUCAACCCCGGGAGGCGGGUGGAUACUGUCAAGCUCGAGUCCGGAAGAGGCGAGUGGAAUUCCUGGUGUAGCGGUGAAAUGCGCAGAUAUCAGGAGGAACACCAAUGGCGAAGGCAGCUCGCUGGGACGUGACUGACGCUGAGACGCGAAAGCGUGGGGAGCAAACAG
This 428-nucleotide ribosomal RNA is filed under the name uncultured bacterium. RNAcentral describes it as "bacterial SSU rRNA". It matches the Rfam family "Bacterial small subunit ribosomal RNA", at positions 355 to 775 of the family's 1533-position model. The record is from RNAcentral.